UCUCCGUUGGUGAACCAGCGGAGGGAUCAUUACCGAGUUCUCUACUCGAAACCCUUUGUGAACCAUUAUAACUCGUUGCUUCGGCGGCGCGUCCCCAGGGCGCGCCCGCCGGUGACUUCAGAAUCUCUGUUCGAACCCGACGUUACUUCUGAGUGUUCUUAAGCGAACUAUUAAAACUUUCAACAACGGAUCUCUUGGCUCUA
RNAcentral lists this unclassified non-coding RNA (203 nucleotides) under plant metagenome. RNAcentral's name for it is "partial contains small subunit ribosomal RNA, internal transcribed spacer 1, and 5.8S ribosomal RNA". The record is from RNAcentral.